This 380-nucleotide unclassified non-coding RNA is filed under the name uncultured Gemmatimonadaceae bacterium. RNAcentral describes it as "contains 16S-23S intergenic spacer region". The record is from RNAcentral. Lineage: Bacteria; Pseudomonadati; Gemmatimonadota; Gemmatimonadia; Gemmatimonadales; Gemmatimonadaceae.
UCCGGUUUGGCACCGGCAGUCCCCCUAGAGUGCCCGGCAUUACCCGCUGGUAACUAGGGGCGGGGGUUGCGCUCGUUGCGGGACUUAACCCAACAUCUCACGACACGAGCUGUCGACAGCCAUGCAGCACCUGUGCUGGUGUCCCGAAGGAGGGCCGGUGUUUCCACCGGCUUUCACCAGCAUGUCAAGCCUAGGUAAGGUUCUUCGCGUUGCGUCGAAUUAAACCACAUGCUCCACCGCUUGUGCGGGCCCCCGUCAAUUCCUUUGAGUUUCAGCCUUGCGGCCGUACUCCUCAGGCGGGGCACUUAAUGCGUUAGCGCCGGCACCCGGGGGGUCGCUCCCCCAAGCACCUAGUGCCCAUCGUUUACAGCGUGGACUAC